ACCAAACUGUCAGAAUACCUACUUGAAAAUUGGUAAUUUGGGGUCACAGGGCUUAGAGAUAAAACAAGUAAGACUUUAUCUCUGGACCCAAGUUUCUUCCCAACUGAUGCUACUGACUCCUCCUUAUCUCAGCAUCAGCUUCCAUGCAGCAGCUCUCCUCCCAGCUUUAUUCCAUCAGCUCAGCAGUUCUGAUGAUGACGCCUCUUUGACUCCACCUGUGGCGCAGCCUGCCUCCAGCCCUCUCCACUUAGCACUCCGUUCAUAUAGGACUCCUGUUGUCCUAAAGAUUUGGUCAGUCCUUCCAGCUCCCAUUAAUCUGGAUUCCUCCAGAGGGCACAGAUUCCUGCUGGCCAUAUUUCGGAUGUAAUUGGCUCCCCACUAAUCAGCUCUGUAAUCUGAGGACUCACAGUAACCUGUAUACUUCAUUCAAGCUUUGCUGAACUACAAGAAGAGCCAAUUACCUUCUGGCAGCCAUCUUGGAUGAUGAAGUAGCAACCUUGCAGGACGCAAGCCAUGGUCCAGGAUGGCGAGGCAUAAAGAAGGAAGAUGCCUGCAUUCGUGGUGGCACUGUUUGAACGUUCCUCCGUUGGUUGAGCUUCAUUCCAGUUCUUCCCCUUUCGCUGAUUGGUCCAAGAGCAGCGACUGCACGUCCAGUUCCGCCUGUACAGUCUUCUACCUGUCAGCCUCUCGAGCAGAUGUGAGCAGCCGACUUAUCCCCUCACCCCCAAGACCCCUGCUCCUCGUCAUGUUUGAGCAUCCCCAGGUCUUUUGU
Molecule: long non-coding RNA, 772 nt
Filed under: Equus caballus (horse)
Lineage: Eukaryota; Metazoa; Chordata; Mammalia; Perissodactyla; Equidae
Description: lncRNA (ENSECAG00000049359.1)
Source: RNAcentral